Molecule: long non-coding RNA, 615 nt
Organism: Oreochromis niloticus (Nile tilapia)
Lineage: Eukaryota; Metazoa; Chordata; Actinopteri; Cichliformes; Cichlidae
Exons: 3
Source: RefSeq, a predicted model, not a curated record
UAGAUGUAGCCGGAUGGGCUACUCGCCUUUCUUUUCUCUCUCUCUCGCUCGCUCGCUCUACUGCUCUCGCUCUCUCCUGCGCUCGCUCUUACUGCAAAACUAGGUCAAUUGGGAACCCACCUGCAUAUUGAUUGCAGGCUGGCACCAGGUAUAAAGCUAAGCCGGUGCUUCUUUGGAUUAUUCCUCCCAUGCAUUCAGCGCAAAGCAGCAGUAAAUGCUGACACUCUGCGACGGACUGAUCGGCAAGAGUAGAUCAUAUGACAGCCACAGCGCGGCAGGUUGUUUUAUUCCGGCGUUGCGGAGAGAGGUGCUUGUGUGAUUUCCCCCACCAGUGAGAGUAUAGCGCCUCCGGUCCUGGGUGAACGGAGGACGUACCAGUGGCCCUGGGACCUUAGGUGGUGGGUCGUUUUCACACUUUCUUUUGUACAGCACCGGGUGGGCUGCAGUGAUUUUCGUUUUGUGUGAUUUUCUUUUGGGUCCACGGCUGCUGGUAAGUCCAAGUUCCAUGAUUGUUUUAUUUUCACGUUAAGACACUGUCAACAAUGACGCUACAUUUUGGUUUCUAAUAUUUUAUUUAUUUUUAUUAUAAAUAAACUGUUUUAAUAUUGGAGCCAA